RNAcentral lists this ribosomal RNA (600 nucleotides) under Limimaricola variabilis. RNAcentral describes it as "bacterial SSU rRNA". It matches the Rfam family "Bacterial small subunit ribosomal RNA", at positions 93 to 728 of the family's 1533-position model. Lineage: Bacteria; Pseudomonadati; Pseudomonadota; Alphaproteobacteria; Rhodobacterales; Paracoccaceae. The record is from RNAcentral.
GUGCGCAGGACGGGUUAGUAACGCGUGGGAACGUGCCCUUCUCUACGGAACAGUCCCGGGAAACUGGGUUUAAUACCGUAUACGCCCUUCGGGGGAAAGAUUUAUCGGAGAAGGAUCGGCCCGCGUCUGAUUAGAUAGUUGGUGGGGUAACGGCCUACCAAGUCGACGAUCAGUAGCUGGUUUGAGAGGAUGAUCAGCAACACUGGGACUGAGACACGGCCCAGACUCCUACGGGAGGCAGCAGUGGGGAAUCUUAGACAAUGGGCGCAAGCCUGAUCUAGCCAUGCCGCGUGAGUGAUGAAGGCCUUAGGGUCGUAAAGCUCUUUCGCUGGGGAAGAUAAUGACGGUACCCAGUAAAGAAACCCCGGCUAACUCCGUGCCAGCAGCCGCGGUAAUACGGAGGGGGUUAGCGUUGUUCGGAAUUACUGGGCGUAAAGCGCGCGUAGGCGGAUUAGAAAGUUGGGGGUGAAAUCCCGGGGCUCAACCCCGGAACUGCCUCCAAAACUACUAGUCUAGAGGUCGAGAGAGGUGAGUGGAAUUCCGAGUGUAGAGGUGAAAUUCGUAGAUAUUCGGAGGAACACCAGUGGCGAAGGCGGCUCA